AUUGAACGCUGGCGGUAUGCUUAACACAUGCAAGUCGAACGGUAACAGGCCUUCGGGCGCUGACGAGUGGCGGACGGGUGAGUAACGCGUAGGAAUCUGCCUCAUAGUGGGGGACAACGCGGGGAAACUCACGCUAAUACCGCAUACGCCCUACGGGGGAAAGCGGGGGAUCUUCGGACCUCGCGCUAUGAGAUGAGCCUGCGUUAGAUUAGCUAGUUGGUAGGGUAAAGGCCUACCAAGGCGACGAUCUAUAGCUGGUCUGAGAGGACGAUCAGCCACACUGGGACUGAGACACGGCCCAGACUCCUACGGGAGGCAGCAGUGGGGAAUAUUGGACAAUGGGCGCAAGCCUGAUCCAGCAAUACCGCGUGUGUGAAGAAGGCCCUAGGGUUGUAAAGCACUUUCAAUUGGGAGGAAAACCUGCCGGUCAAUACCCGGCAGCUUGACAUUACCUUUAGAAGAAGCACCGGCUAACUCCGUG
Molecule: ribosomal RNA, 481 nt
Filed under: uncultured bacterium
Lineage: Bacteria
Description: bacterial SSU rRNA
Rfam family: Bacterial small subunit ribosomal RNA
Source: RNAcentral